AAUCGAACCCGGAGAUAGCUGGUUCUCCCCGAAAUAGCUUUAGGGCUAGCGUCGGAAUGAACCCAUGUGAAGGUAGAGCACUGAAUGUGUGAUGGCCCCAUCCCGGGGUACUGAAUACAAUCAAACUCCGAAUGUCAUGUGGGAUGUCCGGCAGUCAGACUGUGAGUGAUAAGGUCCAUGGUCGAGAGGGAAACAGCCCAGACCGCCAGUUAAGGUCCCAAAAUGCAGGCUAAGUGGAAAAGGAUGUGGGGAUGCCCAGACAACUAGGAGGUUGGCUCAGAAGCAGCCACCCUUUAAAGAGUGCGUAACAGCUCACUAGUCGAGUGACCCUGCGCCGAAAAUGUACCGGGGCUAAGCCUGAUACCGAAACUGCGGAAUCGAAUGAUUGGUAGGGGAGCGUUGUAUACGGGUGGAAGCCGUACCGUGAGGAGCGGUGGACUGUAUAGAAGUGAGAAUGCCGGUGUGAGUAGCGAGAUGUAGGUGAGAAUCCUACACACCGAAAGCCCAAGGAUUCCAGGGGAAGGUUCGUCCGCCCUGGGUAAGUCGGGACCUAAGGCGAGGCCGAAAGGCGUAGUGGAUGGAAAGCAGGCGGAGAUUCCUGCACCCGUAUGUGGAGCGAUGGAGUGACGGAGACGGCUAAUGUGACCCUCUUAACGGAUUGAGGGCGAAGCGGGGUAGCGGUCGACCAGGCAAAUCCGGUCGGCAUAACGCGAAGACGUGACAGGGAAGCGAACGCUUUGGCAAGUAGCGAAGCACAUGAGGCCGGCUUCCAAGAAAAGCUUCUGGCAAUGCACAUGCGGCCCGUACCAAAACCGACACAGGUGGGCAGGUAGAGGAUACCAAGGUGAGCGAGAGAACUGUUGCCAAGGAACUCGGCAAAAUGGCUCCGUACGUUCGCAAGAAGGAGCGCUUAUGAAAAUAAGCCGCAGUGAAUAGGCCCAAGCGACUGUUUAACUAAAACACAGCUCUCUGCGAAGUCGCAAGACGAAGUAUAGGGGGUGACACCUGCCCGGUGCCGGAAGGUUAAGAGGAUCUGUCAAUCGCAAGAUGAAGCAGUGAGUUGAAGCCCCGGUGAACGGCGGCCGUAACUAUAACGGUCCUAAGGUAGCGAAAUUCCUUGUCAGGUAAGUUCUGACCCGCACGAAAGGUGUAACGAUUUGGGCGCUGUCUCGGCAGCAGGCUCGGUGAAAUCUUAGUACCUGUGAAAAUGCAGGUUACCCGCAACUAGACGGAAAGACCCCAUGGAGCUUUACUGUAGCCUGGUAUUGGAUUUUGGUCAGACAUGUACAGGAUAGGUGGGAGACUGUGAGACGUGCACGCCAGUGUACGAGGAGUCGCCGUUGGGAUACCACUCUUGUGUGAUCGGAGUUCUAACCUGGUGGCCUGAACCGGCCAUAGGGAGAGUGCCAGGUGGGCAGUUUGACUGGGGCGGUCGCCUCCCAAAGAGUAACGGAGGCGCCCAAAGGUACGCUCAGAUUGGAUGGAAACCAAUCGCCGAGUGCAAAUGCAGAAGCGUGCUUGACUGUGAGAGCAACAACUCGAACAGGGACGAAAGUCGGGAUUAGUGAUCCGGCGGUGCCGAAUGGAAGGGCCGUCGCUCAACGGAUAAAAGCUACCCUGGGGAUAACAGGCUGAUCUCCCCCAAGAGUUCACAUCGACGGGGAGGUUUGGCACCUCGAUGUCGGCUCAUCGCAUCCUGGAGCUGAAGUCGGUUCCAAGGGUUGGGCUGUUCGCCCAUUAAAGCGGUACGCGAGCUGGGUUCAGAACGUCGUGAGACAGUUCGGUCCCUAUCUGUUGUGGGCGAAGGAGAUUUGAGGAGAGCUGCCCUUAGUACGAGAGGACCGGGGUGGACCUACCGCUGGUGCACCAGUUGUAUCGCCAGAUGCAUAGCUGGGUAGCUAAGUAGGGAAGGGAUAAGCGCUGAAAGCAUCUAAGCACGAAGCCUACUCCAAGAUGAGAUCUCCCAUUCGCAAGAAGUAAGACCCCUUGA
Molecule: ribosomal RNA, 1990 nt
Filed under: human gut metagenome
Description: bacterial LSU rRNA
Rfam family: Bacterial large subunit ribosomal RNA
Source: RNAcentral